RNAcentral lists this long non-coding RNA (292 nucleotides) under Mytilus galloprovincialis (Mediterranean mussel). Lineage: Eukaryota; Metazoa; Mollusca; Bivalvia; Mytilida; Mytilidae. The record is from RNAcentral.
UUGCGCCAAAUUUUGUUUUUCAAAUGUAUCAAUUGCGCCAAUAUUCGGAACUCAUUUGCGCCAACUUACCUGUACACAUAUUUAUUAUAAAUAUUAAUGAUUGAUAUAUAUUUAUUCUUAUUUUUUACUUUAAAAGUAUCAUAUGUUCGGAGAUAUUUCACCAUGAAGAUGAUCACCUGGAGAGAAAUUACGUAAGACGCAUUAGACAGUCAAUGUACAGAGAGAGAAUAGAACUUAUUGCUUUGCUAAAUAUUUAAUAAAGAUAUGCCAAAAUAGAAGAAAAUAGAAGCUU